UGCCAGCCGCCGCGGUAAUACGGAGGGUGCGAGCGUUAAUCGGAAUUACUGGGCGUAAAGGGUGCGUAGGCGGUUGAAUCAGUCGGAUGUGAAAGCCCCGGGCUUAACCUGGGAAUUGCAUUCGAUACUGUUCGGCUAGAGUACGAUAGAGGGUGGUGGAACUCCAGGUGUAGCGGUGAAAUGCGUAGAUAUCUGGAAGAAUACCAGUGGCGAAGGCGGCCACCUGGAUCGUAACUGACGCUGAGGCACGAAAGCGUGGGGAGCAAACAGGAUUAGAUACCCUGGUAGUCCACGCCCUAAACGAUGAGAACUAGCCGCUGGGAGGAUUAGCCUUUCAGUGGCGUAGCUAACGCGUUAAGUUCUCCGCCUGGGGAGUACGGCCGCAAGGUUGAAACUCAAAUGAAUUGACGG
RNAcentral lists this ribosomal RNA (411 nucleotides) under uncultured bacterium. RNAcentral describes it as "bacterial SSU rRNA". It matches the Rfam family "Bacterial small subunit ribosomal RNA", at positions 506 to 916 of the family's 1533-position model. The record is from RNAcentral.